RNAcentral lists this transfer RNA (73 nucleotides) under Arthonia kermesina. Its description in RNAcentral is "tRNA-Met". It matches the Rfam family "tRNA". From Rfam's summary of the family: Transfer RNA (tRNA) molecules are approximately 80 nucleotides in length. Their secondary structure includes four short double-helical elements and three loops (D, anti-codon, and T loops). Lineage: Eukaryota; Fungi; Ascomycota; Arthoniomycetes; Arthoniales; Arthoniaceae. The record is from RNAcentral.
GCUAGGAUAGUUCAACUGGUUAGAACAUUAAUUUCAUGCAUUAACAAUGGGGAUUCGAGUUUCUCUCCUGGCU